GGGUAAUGAGGCAUAAAGGUCUGCUGUCUAGAGAGUCAGUCCAGCCCUAAUAGAGGGAGGACCCAAAGAGAAGAAGUGUCAUUUGGUGAAGAGAAAGGAACAGACUGCCCAGGGAGCCAAUUACCGGAGCCAGAAGAGGAUGCUCAGCCUAGCAGGGAGACCACAGUCAGGAUGGCAAGAGCCUGCGACAUUGUGGGGAGGUUGUUUCUGCCUCUAAGAUGCAAAGUGACCCAUGACCCAGCCCUGUCUUUUUAGGUAGCAAUUCUUGGCAAUAUUCUUUUCUAAAUACCUCUUGCAGCCAGCCCCUCCUCUCCAAGAUCUGCCUCAACACCUCUCAGCUGGGCUCUGCCUUGUACUUGCUCUGAUUGAAUUGAUUUUUCUCACUUCCAACCUCUCCUCCACAGAGUUGUCAGAAAGCCCUUUGUGGAACCACCUGGGAUUAGGUCAGUUUACGCUUAAAGUAACUCAUGACCCCCAAGUCCAUAAGCCUGGUAUAUAUAUGAAAGCCUUCCCCAUGUGGCCUCUGCUCCAUCCACGCUUGCCUCCAACCAUCACAACCACUUUCCCUGGAAACUCCACUCUCUGUCUUGCCUCCAAGCCUUUGCCUACACUGAACCUGCCACCUGGAAUAGCGUUCUCAGGAAAUAAUACAUUGUAGUGGUUAAAUGUAUAGGUUCCAAAGUUAGAUCACCUGAGCUUGAAUCCUGGGGCUGUCAUUUCUUAAUCAUGUAAACUUGGGUGCAGUAUUUAACCUAAGUAUAAUUUUCAUCAUGGUUGAUAUGAAAAGCAAUAGCCAUAAUGCCUAUUUCAUAACUUUGUUGUGAGGAUUAAAUGAGAUAAUCUAUAUAUAGCAGUCAGCCCAGUGCCAAGUGUAGAGGAAGCACACGAUAAAUGUUAUUAUGAUAAUAAGCAUCCAUCACGAGCCAGGUCAUUGACAGCAAUGACCGUAGAAAGAUGAGUAAAUUGUUUUGCAUUUUAUUAGCUCAUCUUUGGAACUAAAUAUAGAAUUAAUUUUUUUUCUUCUGUUUUUCAUUGAUGGAGAGCAACACAUAAAACAGGCAAUUGGUGAAUGCUCACUGGAAGGAUGAAUGAAUGAAUUCGUUAAGUAGAUAAAUUGGAUAUUUUACCCAACAUAAUUAUUUAAAAGAAAAAGACAAAAGUGACAUUAAGAAACAUGCAAAAUUAAUUUGAAGGUUAAUGUAAAAAUUGCAAAUGUGAGGCAGGAAAAGAAACACUUUUCCAACUGAGAACAAUCUAAGUUAAGCCCCUUAAUCAUUCCCAUCUGGAGAGAAGGUGAGCGCCGUUUGGCUUGGAGCUCAUUCAUUCCCCAUCAUGCCUGACUUGAGUGCCUUCCACGAUGCUGUGUCAGAUGCCUUUCAGUAAUGUAGUCAAUGUGCACAGUACAUCACAGGCUGCAAAGCCCUACCUUAACGUGGAUCCUGGGAGGAAUGAUACUCAGACCAAGUCUAAGGCAGGGAGGAUAAGAAACAUUGUCCCAUUGAACAGCUGAGGAAGCAGGCUAGAAAUAAGUCUGGCAACUUUUUUCAGGUCACUAAGUGCAAAGUCACAGAGCCAGGACGAUCUAAAUGCUGAACUCUAUUCUGCCCUCCUCUGCUGAGUGACAUGUACAAGGGUGUUCCUUAGCUUCUUCUCGUUCCUUCCCAGGAAGGCUUCUCACCUGUAAGGGAACAAGAGUUCCUCUGUCCUAGUGUACAGUGAUAUGAAGUCUAGGAAAGGGAAAGACAAAAAGAAGACCUGGAGGAAGAGAAGAGGGGGCAGUAAAUUUGAGGAUUUGCUGAGAUUGGGUUUUCAAGAAUAAAAAACGCAUAUAGGGUAGUAAUGGGAUCCAUUGUUCCCAAACAUAUUUCCUUUUGGCCCGGGUUGUUCCUAGACCCAGAAUUAGAGCUUGUCGUGUCUCCUCCAAACAAGCAAAGAGUGCUCUUUUUGGCUACAAAGAUCUGUCUCACUGGCUCCUCUGAGAGGUAGAUUUAUACCCAGGUCCAGAGUAAGCAUUUAGGGGACAAAUGAUUUCAUCAGAAGUAGUUUCAUGUGGAAUUCUUUGACGGUGAAUGAGGCAUUCCUAAAUGCAUGGAUGGUGUUGUUGGCAGAAUCAUUGAGGACUGGAGAGGCAAUUCUGUACCCAGGAUACGUGUCUAUUCCAGUAAUGGCAUAUGUCCGCCCCCGCCCAUGUUUGGAAGGUCCAGUGUAAUCAACUUGCCACCAAGUGGCUGACUGGUCCCCUAGGGAAGGUGCCCCACUGGGGGCUGAGCAUCUCCAUUGCUUGCAGGUCAGGCAUGCUUCAGUCCUGUUGGCAGUAGUCAUGAUCAGAAUAUUCACAGAGGGUGUUUCUGGGUAACAAGAUGAUUACUGUUGCCUUCUGGCUGAUUUACAUUUCAUAAUUUCCUAACAACUACUUUGCAUUUCUUGUGUAACAAAUAAUAAAAGUAAAUUUAAAAUUGGCCUAAAGCAAUUAUUUAAUGUGUUUAGGGAACAGAGUGAGAGGGGCAGGCAGGACCACCAUUUGCAUAUGCCUGUGAACCUGAGACUGUCCUACUCAUUCAAUGACAGUCAUAAUAACCAUCACUGGAAUAUCACCUCAUCAUGAGAUGCUUACAACCCUGGAUUUACAGAGGCAGAAAUGUAGGCUCAGAGAAAGCCCUUUGUCUCUCUCUUUUUACUCAUUCCCAGGAAGUGCCUCACCUGCAAGGGAGAGAGAGUUUACCUGAACAUCUCGCCUAUACAUUGAGAUGAAGACCAGCUAAAGAGAAAAGCAAAAAUGAAAGCUAAGGCAUGGAGGAGGGGAAGCAGGUGGGUGGGUUUUCAAUGUUACACUUUGAGCUGGGGCUCAAAGCCAGGAGAGGAAUGCCUCAUUGUUGUCCUUGUUGAUAGUGUGUCGCUAACUCUUUGCUUUGGUGCCAUGUUCAGCUGGAACCUGAGGCUCUUAGGGACUUUAGGCCUCUGAGAAGUUUCCUUCCAGUGGGAUAUAGGAUGUUUGAUUUUCUUUAGCUGAAACCUGUGCUGUGGAGCGCUGUGAUUACACAGUUCCUCCAAUGACACUCAGUGCACACCCUGCUUUUGAUGACAUUUCCAAAGCCCCUAUUAGAAGCCUAAACACUGCUUGCCAUUGGAUUAUAAAACCAUCAAAGCAACUCCAUUUACUAGACUCAACUACCUGGCAGUUUCCCUAUCAUUGGGUUUAAUUGGCUCAGUUAUGAAUUUGUUAUUGACUUAACCUCAUCUUUUAUGGGAGGCAUGCAAAUAGCCCCUGCACCUUAUCUUAAAUUGUAAUACUUGACAGUCUGAAGCUCCCAUCAAAAUAGAAGUCUUUUCAUGUAUCUGAGGAUCCAAACUGUCAUUCUGGGAAUCUGAACUUUUGAUUAAUUGCACAAUAAUAAAUUCUCA
Molecule: long non-coding RNA, 3402 nt
Filed under: Homo sapiens (human)
Lineage: Eukaryota; Metazoa; Chordata; Mammalia; Primates; Hominidae
Description: HSALNT0350292
Source: RNAcentral